RNAcentral lists this ribosomal RNA (303 nucleotides) under uncultured bacterium. RNAcentral's name for it is "partial 16S ribosomal RNA". It matches the Rfam family "Bacterial small subunit ribosomal RNA", at positions 507 to 807 of the family's 1533-position model. The record is from RNAcentral.
AGCAGUCGCCGCGGUAAUACGGAGGGGGCUAGCGUUGUUCGGAAUUACUGGGCGUAAAGCGUGCGUAGGCGGUUCGUUAAGUCUGUUGUGAAAGCCCCGGGCUCAACCUGGGAAUGGCAAUGGAUACUGGCGAGCUAGAGUGUGUCAGAGGAUGGUGGAAUUCCCGGUGUAGCGGUGAAAUGCGUAGAGAUCGGGAGGAACAUCAGUGGCGAAGGCGGCCAUCUGGGACAAUACUGACGCUGAGGCACGAAAGCGUGGGGAGCAAACAGGAUUAGAUACCCCUGUAGUCCCUGUCUCUUAUAC